UACGAAGGGGGCUAGCGUUGCUCGGAAUUACUGGGCGUAAAGCGCACGUAGGCGGUCUUUUAAGUCGGGGGUGAAAUCCUGGAGCUCAACUCCAGAACUGCCUUCGAUACUGGAAGACUUGAGUCCGGGAGAGGUGAGUGGAACUGCGAGUGUAGAGGUGAAAUUCGUAGAUAUUCGCAAGAACACCAGUGGCGAAGGCGGCUCACUGGCCCGGUACUGACGCUGAGGUGCGAAAGCGUGGGGAGCA
This 247-nucleotide ribosomal RNA is filed under the name uncultured bacterium. RNAcentral describes it as "partial 16S ribosomal RNA". It matches the Rfam family "Bacterial small subunit ribosomal RNA", at positions 524 to 770 of the family's 1533-position model. The record is from RNAcentral.